This 253-nucleotide ribosomal RNA is filed under the name uncultured bacterium. RNAcentral's name for it is "partial 16S ribosomal RNA". It matches the Rfam family "Bacterial small subunit ribosomal RNA", at positions 524 to 776 of the family's 1533-position model. The record is from RNAcentral.
AACGUAGGUUCCGAGCGUUAUCCGGAUUUACUGGGCGUAAAGCGUGUUCAGGCGGCUUUUCAAGUCGGGCAUGAAAUCUCUCGGCUCAACCGGGAGGGGCUGUCCGAAACUGGGAGGCUUGAGGGCAGUAGAGGGUGGUGGAAUUCCGGGUGUAGUGGUGAAAUGCGUAGAUAUCCGGAGGAACACCAGUGGCGAAAGCGGCCACCUGGACUGUACCUGACGCUCAAACACGAAAGCUAGGGGAGCGAACGGG